Molecule: transfer RNA, 143 nt
Filed under: Alphaproteobacteria bacterium
Lineage: Bacteria; Pseudomonadati; Pseudomonadota; Alphaproteobacteria
Description: tRNA-OTHER
Rfam family: tRNA
About the family: Transfer RNA (tRNA) molecules are approximately 80 nucleotides in length.
Source: RNAcentral
GCCGGAGUAGCUCAAUCGGCAGAGCACGUAACGUCACCCCAUCGAUGCGUUCUCCGGGUUCGCGGCAGCGGAUCCGGCAGUGAGAGGUGGGGUUACUUCGACUUCCAAUCGCGUGGUUGCGGGUUCGAGUCCCGCCUCCGGCU